GAUGCUGCGCCGGCAGAACGGAUUACUUUGAUGGUGUAAAAAAUGGUAUUUUUACCCGGCAUC
This 63-nucleotide transfer RNA is filed under the name Magelona mirabilis. RNAcentral's name for it is "tRNA-Ile". Lineage: Eukaryota; Metazoa; Annelida; Polychaeta; Spionida; Magelonidae. The record is from RNAcentral.